UCGCGAAAACUUCACAAUGGGGGCAACCCCGAUGAGGGAAUUCCUAGUGCUAGCACAUUUGUGUUAGCUUUUCUUUAGCUUAGAAAACUAGAGGAAUAAGGGCUGGGUAAGACGGGUGCCAGCCGCCGCGGUAAUACCUGCAGCCCAAGUGGUGGUCGAUUUUAUUGAGUCUAAAACGUUCGUAGCCGGUUCGGUAAAUCUUUGGGUAAAUCGGGGGGCUUAACCUUCCGACUUCCGAGGAGACUGCCGAACUUGGGACCGGGAGAGGCUAGAGGUACUUCUGGGGUAGGGGUAAAAUCCUGUAAUCCUAGAAGGACCACCGGUGGCGAAGGCGUCUAGCUAGAACGGAUCCGACGGUGAGGGACGAAGCCCUGGGUCGCAAACGGGGUUAGAUACCCCGGUAGUCCAGGGUGUAAACGCUGCAGACUUGGUGUUGGAGGCCCUUUGGGGGCAUUCAGUGCCGGAGAGAAGUUGUUAAGUCUGCUACUUGGGGAGUACGUCCGCAAGGAUGAAACUUAAAGGAAUUGGCGGGGGAGCACCGCAACGGGAGGAGCGUGCGGUUUAAUUGGAUUCAACACCGUAAAACUCACCAGGGAAGACUGUUACAUGAAGGCCGGGCUAAAGACUCUGCCAGAUUUUCA
Molecule: ribosomal RNA, 641 nt
Filed under: uncultured euryarchaeote
Lineage: Archaea; Methanobacteriati; Methanobacteriota
Description: bacterial SSU rRNA
Rfam family: Archaeal small subunit ribosomal RNA
Source: RNAcentral